CUCUGCUUAGCCUCCUGCCUAAAAAGGCAGUUCCUGAGCUCUCUAAUCUCCAGGAGUAGAAUUCCACAGAACAUACAACCCUUUAAGACGGCAAGCAUCUAGAGACAGAGCUCACAGCUUUCUCCACCUCCACGGAACAACAGGAGGCCAAUGUUACUUCAGAUGAUUCCCUCACCUGUCCACUCCAACUACUAAAAGACAGAUGAAGAUUGAAGCAAAUGCCACUACACAUCUGAAGCUUCAGAACUUGCCAUGUGAUAUGGAAGACAAAUGAAGCCAGUCAGCAAUGUCAAGGUUUGAAGUGGUGGUCCAUUGAAAGCACUGGGUCUUACAAGCCUGAGAAGUAGCACGUAAAGUGACUAUGCUGUGGUUUUGUUGCAGAUGCCAGUACUCUUGUGUGAAGUUUUGAAGCGUCAGAUGAACUUGGAUGAAAACUUCUUCUUUUCAAAGGCUGAAUCAUUUUAGGAUGUGGAGCUAAAGUUAAAUGAUAUUUUUGAGGAUAUGAGUAUUAUACUAUGCAAACCACAGACAGGAUAAGAAUUGUUUACACAAUAUUAUUAUACUGUUACAUAUCUAUUGAGAUAGGUCUCAGUCAUGA
Molecule: long non-coding RNA, 598 nt
Organism: Malaclemys terrapin pileata
Lineage: Eukaryota; Metazoa; Chordata; Testudines; Emydidae
Exons: 3
Source: RefSeq, a predicted model, not a curated record